AGAAAAAUAAGCUAAUUUUAAAGCUACUGGACUCAUAACCCAGCUAUAGGUUCCACCUUUUUUCUA
RNAcentral lists this transfer RNA (66 nucleotides) under Cacopsylla fuscicella. RNAcentral's name for it is "tRNA-Met". The record is from RNAcentral. Lineage: Eukaryota; Metazoa; Arthropoda; Insecta; Hemiptera; Psyllidae.